Molecule: ribosomal RNA, 806 nt
Filed under: uncultured bacterium
Lineage: Bacteria
Description: bacterial SSU rRNA
Rfam family: Bacterial small subunit ribosomal RNA
Source: RNAcentral
GGCCUAACACAUGCAAGUCGAACGUGAAGCCACCUUCGGGUGGUGGAAAGUGGCAGACGGGUGAGUAACGCGUGGGAAUCUACCCAAUGGUACGGAAUAACUCAGGGAAACUUGAGCUAAUACCGUAUGUGCCCGAAAGGGGAAAGAUUUAUCGCCAUUGGAUGAGCCCGCGUCUGAUUAGCUAGUUGGUGGGGUAACGGCCCACCAAGGCGACGAUCAGUAGCUGGUCUGAGAGGAUGAUCAGCCACACUGGGACUGAGACACGGCCCAGACUCCUACGGGAGGCAGCAGUGGGGAAUAUUGGACAAUGGGCGCAAGCCUGAUCCAGCCAUGCCGCGUGAGUGAUGAAGGCCCUAGGGUUGUAAAGCUCUUUCGGCGGGGACGAUAAUGACGGUACCCCCAGAGGAAGCACCGGCUAACUCCGUGCCAGCAGCCGCGGUAAGACGGAGGGUGCAAACGUUGUUCGGAAUCACUGGGCGUAAAGGGCGCGUAGGCGGACUCGUAAGUCGGGAGUGAAAACUCGGGGCUCAACCCCGAGCCUGCUUCUGAAACUGCGAGUCUUGAGGACCGGAGAGGAAAGUGGAAUUCCUAGUGUAGCGGUGGAAUGCGUAGAUAUUAGGAAGAACACCAGUGGCGAAGGCGACUUUCUGGACGGUUCCUGACGCUGAGGCGCGAAAGCUAGGGGAGCAAACAGGAUUAGAUACCCUGGUAGUCCUAGCCGUAAACGAUGAGUGCUAGGUGGUGGUAGUUUCAACACUCUCACCGCCGCAGCCAACGCAUUAAGCACUCCGCCUGGGGAGUACGGC